CCAUAGUAACCAGGCUCCAAAUGGGUGUGGUAGGUAAACUCAAGGGCCAGCACCAAAACACUCUUGGAUUCUUAAAGGAAGGAGGGUAUGCCUACUAGUCUCCAUAUAAACCAGGCUCCUCACAGAAGAUGAAUGUGUACUAGUGGAUGGGUUUUUACAAGAGCAAAAUGAGGAAGAAUCUCAUGGGCCUAUCAGCAUCCUAAGUAGAUGCUGACCUUUUAUCCAGGGACUGAUAUAAGCUCUCAGGAAGAGAAUGGGGAGGAAUACAUUUGGAAAUGGUACCCAGCUACUAUUGAUGAGCUCAGGUCACCUAGCCCAGCUGAAUCACAUCUUCUGAUUCUGAAAGAACUGGAAAAAUGUGAUAUCACUGCCAGUGAUAUCUGAAAGACAGAGAAGAAUGGGAGCCGGACUAAAGCCUUGGUGAAAGGCAAAUGGCCCAAUUUCUUUAAAAAAAGGAAUAGGGUGGAAUCUGCUAACGGCAUUU
Molecule: non-coding RNA, 484 nt
Organism: Phascolarctos cinereus (koala)
Lineage: Eukaryota; Metazoa; Chordata; Mammalia; Diprotodontia; Phascolarctidae
Source: RefSeq, a predicted model, not a curated record